Molecule: ribosomal RNA, 406 nt
Filed under: uncultured bacterium
Lineage: Bacteria
Description: partial 16S ribosomal RNA
Rfam family: Bacterial small subunit ribosomal RNA
Source: RNAcentral
GAUGAACGCUAGCUCCAGGCUUAACACAUGCAAGUCGAGGGACCGGCGCACGGGUGAGUAACACGUAUCCAACCUGCCCUUUACUCGGGGAUAGCCUUUCGAAAGAAAGAUUAAUACCCGAUAUAAAGGAUGGGGAUGCGUUCCAUUAGGUUGUUGGUGAGGUAACGGCUAACCAAGCCUUCGAUGGAUAGGGGUUCUGAGAGGAAGGUCACCCACGUUGGAACUGAGACACGGCCCAAACGUGUACGGGAGGCAGCAGAGAGGAAGAGUUGUCAAUGGGCCCUAGUCUGAACCGGCCAAGUAGCGUGAAGGAUGAAGGGUUAUGGAGCGUAAUUUUCUUUGAUAAAAGAAUAUGUAUUAGAUGAAUAAGGAUCGGCUAACUCCGUGCCAGCAGCCGCGGUAAUAC